GGGGGCGGUGCUUUGGGUAGCAGCUGACAGCCUGACUGAGGUUGAAGCCCUAUAGUGCAAACUUAAGAAUACUAUAAAACAGCUUAUUUUCUCCACACUUAGUGUGAGACUUAAAACUAAAUCCACCGCACAAUAUUUCUUCUUGAGAUACCUUCUACCUUUUGCCAUGUGUUAUUUCUUGGUUUUGUUUUUUCUGUGUCGGGAGGAACAGUACCCCAUUCUGUAUUUGGUUCAAGCUCCAGCAAACUGCUCACGUGCCUCGUAUGUUCUACAAGAUUCGCACACUGGGAUGGCUCAUGUGGUGUCAUGAAUUGUGAACAUUACUGUGCAGUCAUUCUCAGAAGCUCUGAGAUGCAAGACAUUAUUUGUCAAGAUUGCAGGUGCUCCAGCAGGAACCUAUCCAGCUCUUUGUAGGUGUUAU
RNAcentral lists this long non-coding RNA (421 nucleotides) under Homo sapiens (human). RNAcentral describes it as "HSALNT0136727". The record is from RNAcentral. Lineage: Eukaryota; Metazoa; Chordata; Mammalia; Primates; Hominidae.